CCCGCCUUAGCUCAGCCUGGUUAGAGCGGUCGGCUGUAGAAACCGACAGGUCCCCGAUUCAAAUUCGGGAGGCGGGA
RNAcentral lists this transfer RNA (77 nucleotides) under Methanocella conradii HZ254. RNAcentral's name for it is "tRNA-Tyr". The record is from RNAcentral. Lineage: Archaea; Methanobacteriati; Methanobacteriota; Methanomicrobia; Methanocellales; Methanocellaceae.